GUAAAACAAUUACUAUACCUGUGUCACUACUCACUUGUAGUGCCUUCGCACCUCAUAGCAUCCUCAGGAGUAUGUUUGCUUUUUUUUUUUUGCAACUAAUUAUUUUUUCUUCCAAACAUUAUUACGAAUAUGUUGUUUUGACAUAAAAGUACGUUUUUUUUGGAACUGCAAUUCAAAAUUGUUAGAUGUAUAUUCAUUGAGCUAUUAGAAAGAAUGCGAAGGAUAAUUUAUUUUUAUAUACGACAAUUGGUUGGUUUGAUUUGCUUAAGAAUAUAAAAUCUAAUAAAUCUAAUGUUAGGACUAGUUGAAUAGAGCUAUAUGUGUAAGUCAUUUACUUCUGAAGUAUGCAAGUCAUUUACUAGCUGGAUAGUGUUAGGCUAGUUGGAGUGUGUUUUUUUGCUAGUAGUUUUGUAGGGUUUAAUUGCUGGAUUAUCUUUAAUAUCCUAUAUAUUGUUUUAGUUUUUAUUGACAAACAUUAGUGCCCAGCGGAAACCAAUUUUGCUAAACAAAAAGCUUUUAUUUUUAGCUAAUUUUUUUUUUAUUGCAGCUAAAUAUUAUUUUUUCUUCCAAAUAUUUCUAUGUAUAUGUUUUUUUAACAUAAAAGUACGUUUUUUUGGAACUACCAUUCAAAAUUGUUUGAUUUAUAAACAGUUAAGUGUUCUCUAAUUUGAUGCAUUGUGAUGAUUUGUGGAAUAAAUCUAAUUGUCUAGAUAGAUUUGACAUAAUGGAUGAACAUGAACAAAAAGUUGAAAAAUAUUUGAUGUUUUAUGUUAUCAAAUUUUAUUAUUUAAAGUGUUUUGUUUUAUUCAUAGACUAUUAAGUUUUAAUAUAUCUUUAUAACUAUUUAUUUAUGUUUUAGCUUAUGUUUAGAAAUUUUUAUAAUUGUUGGUUACAUAUGCAGUGGAGUAUUUUCUGAUUAGUUGCUUAAUGAUCUAUUUUGUUUAAACAAUAUUGAGACACAUUGUGAUCUGUUUCGUUUAAACAGUUUUGAGACAGUGGAUUAAGUGAACAAAUUGAAAUGUGAUAAAGAUUCUCAAAAUGAGAUAGUUAAGAUCUUUCAUGAAGAACUAGAGGCGUUUCGCAGGCAGAUGGCUUAUAAAAGUUGCUGGUGAAGAGAGUGGUGAUAGCUCAUCGACUUCUUCAUAUGAAACGAGUCUUGAAUGAAAGUAUAAAAAACUAUUUGUUAAUUGUUGACGUCAAUAAGAGAAAGUUGGUGAUGCACACCAAUGUAUAGGAGAUAUAGUUCAUACAUAUGAAAAGUUGAUCAAAAAGGUCAAGAAAGGGGAGAUUUCCCCGGACAUGACGGAUGUGUCCGAGCUAGAGAUCGAGAAAUUUUAGUGUGAGUUCUCCUCUAAAGCUUUGAAACUUGCUGAAGAGUUUGAAAAGCUAUCAGUUAGAGUAUCAACAUAUAGCAAGAUAGCUGAGGUAUGAUAUAUUUUCGUUUUAUGUUUUAAAUAAAUAAAAAAUUACACUACAUUUUAUGCCAAGAAUUGUGUUAAUUUAAUAAUUUUUUAAUUUCAGCACGGCGUAGAGGCUAGCCAAAUCAAUGUGCCUAUUCUAGCGAGCAUGCGAGAGCAAGAGAGGACGAGAACUUCAACCUGCCAAACUUUGAAAGAGUUUGAAGCAUAUAAAAAGUUCAUAUUGGAGAAAGUACAUGUAUAGUUUAUUGUGGGCUACUUGGUCAAACGUAACCGGCACUUGCAUGAGACUUCGUUUUCUAGAUUUUGCUUAAAAAUUUUGAACUUGGUAGAAUCUCAUGCACUAGUAAAACAAUUGCUAUACCAGUGCCACUGCUCACUUGUAGUGCUUUGCAUCUCAUAGCAUCCUCAGGAGUAUGUUUGCUUGCUACGUUUUCACUGGCCUACUCGUAGCAAUGCAACUUACUGGUAGUACUAAGGGGGUGUUUAAUUAGAUGUAAUUACAAAUAUAGUAUAGUUAAAGAUUGAUGUAGUUGAAAAUACAGCAAUUACAACUAUACGCAUUUUGUUUGGUUGAAUGUAAUAGAAAGCGCUGCAACUAUAAAUAAUUUGUUUGGUUGUAUGCAGUUUAGAAAUAAUUUUUAAAAUAUUUUUUGUUUUAAAAAAAUAUUUUUUGUUUAAAAAAUAUUUAGGGAUGUAAGCUUACCAUUUGCUUAAAGUUAUUACACUUGAAACUACGGUCAAUUUGAGUGUAGUUCCAACUAUUGCAGUUGGGCCUCCUCCUGUAAUUCCUAUUGCGGCAGUUGGAGUUAAAUACAUUAAAUCAAAUAUCGAAUUUGUACUUGUAUACAAUUACAACUGUAGUACAGCUAUAACUAUGUGCAACCAAUGGUCCCUAAGUGCAGAAGUGGCAUUAAAGGGCUGCCUUGGGGAACUGUGUUAUUGCAUCUGAACUACAAUGUGGUUUUAGUAUCAGAAAGCCUAAUACAAUCCGAAAAAAAUUUCAGAAGGAAAAAAUUAUUAUUCGCUUCUAUCUGACGAGAUAUUUUUUAAAGUUAUUUUUACGAACUUGUUUAGUUCUUGAUAUUUUUUUAAUAUGUCGGAAAAUUUUUUUAUGUUUUAUGAUAAAAAUAUGACGUGGUAGGAAUUAAAAUUUUCUAUGAAAUUCUAUAUUCGUAGAAUUUCAGUUGUUAUUUUUUUAAGACAAAUUUGAUUUAGG
RNAcentral lists this long non-coding RNA (2637 nucleotides) under Ananas comosus (pineapple). RNAcentral's name for it is "long non-coding RNA (ACOM_LNC014128)". Lineage: Eukaryota; Viridiplantae; Streptophyta; Magnoliopsida; Poales; Bromeliaceae. The record is from RNAcentral.